This 2653-nucleotide unclassified non-coding RNA is filed under the name Haliotis rubra (blacklip abalone). RNAcentral's name for it is "x-ray repair cross-complementing protein 5-like, transcript variant X1". Lineage: Eukaryota; Metazoa; Mollusca; Gastropoda; Lepetellida; Haliotidae. The record is from RNAcentral.
CUCCCCUUGAUCGUGUUUAGAGAUGGCGGCAAAUAAGGAAGCCAUAGCUAUUGUGCUGGAUGUGGGUCCCUCCAUGAACCAGGCACCGCCGGGGGAGGUGUCCUCACUACAGACAGCUAUUGAUGCCAUCACUAUGAUUCUCCAGAGGAAGAUGUUCUCUGAGUCUAAGGAUGAGGUAUCUCUGGUUCUGUUUGGUACUGAUGGCACAGACAACCCUCUGGCUGAUGGAGACAGCUACCAAAACAUCACCAUUGCCCGACCUCUUGGGGUCGCGGACUUUGACCUGCUCCAGCAGGUGAAGGAUGAGAUUCAGCCUUCAGACACAGCAGCUGACUUCCUAGAUGCAGUGGUUGUUGCCAUGGAUCACCUUGUCCAGGGAAUACAGGGUAAGAGAGGGUUUGCAUCGAAGCGUAUCAUCCUGCUGUCAGACCUGGGGGGCGAGUUUGGAGACGAUCAGCUGGACACCAUCAUUGGUGCACUCCACAACUCGGGGACAAAUAUUGACGUCAUUGGCCCCAACAUUGACGAUGAUGAGGAUGAGGAAGGAGGGGGAGGCGAUGCAGGGGGGGCAUCGGUCAACGGUCACCGCAAGGACAAGACCCCUCAGCAGCGAGCAGGGGAAGCUUUGAUUAAACAUAUUCUGGACCAAGUUGAGGGGGAAUGCUAUUCAUUCAGUGAAGCGUUACCUGCCCUUAGUUACUUCACAGCUCGUCAGGUCCGCCCUACAGCAUGGAAAUGCACAAUGGAUAUUGGUCCCGAUCUCCGUAUACCAAUAAACUUUUAUGGAAAAAUAAAAGACUUCAAGUUGAAGCAGAGCUGGAAAAAGGUUUAUGCAAAGGAUCCUGACCAAACGGUGGGCAACUUGCGGACACAGCACAUGAAUGACGAGGAGGAGACAGAGGUGGAGAGAGAGGACAUUGUACAGGGUUAUCGCUAUGGUAACACGUUAGUGCCGAUGUCUGAGGAUGACAAAGAAAACAUGAAGUAUAAAGCAGAGAAAUGUCUGAAGGUUCUUGGCUUUACAAAAAGUGAUAAUGUAAAACGCCAUCAUUUCUUGGGAGAUGGGACAAAUGUUGUUUUUGCUGAGAAAGGAGAUGAGGCUGCUGGAGUUGCCCUUUCUGCCAUGAUCAACGCCCUCUAUGAGACAAACAUGGUGAUUAUUGCUCGCAGGGUCUACUCCAGUGCUUCAGGACCUAAACUUGGAAUUCUCUGGCCCUCAAUCAAGGCCAAUUAUGAGUGUUUGUAUUGGGCAGAAAUCCCUUUUGCCGAGGAUCUACGUCAGUUCACCUUUGGAUCACUGCCAAUCAUGGAUGAUGUUGAAACAAACAAGAAAUACAAACCUACAGCUGAGCAGCUCAGUGCAGUGGAUGACCUCAUCACAGCCAUGGACCUCAGCCAGGCAGCAGCGGAUGAUGACGAUGAAGAAGAAGAAAAGUCUGAGUUUCUGAAGCCAAAACUGACCUUCAACCCAUACUUUCAGAGAUUAUACCAGUGCCUACAACACCGAGCUGAAAACACAGACGAGGGAUUGCCAGAGUUAUCCCCACUUAUUGCAAGCUAUCUCAAACCACCACAAGAAGUUCUCACAAGAUGUGAAGAACAUGUGGAGAAAAUGAAAAAUGUAUUUAAACUUGAAAUGGUUUCUAAGAAGAAAGAUGAAAAAACAGGAGAAGCAAUGUUUAAGGAUAAUGAGGCGGAGGCAGGACCAGCUCCAAAACGACAAAAGCUGGAUGACAACCUUGAAGGAGGGAUGCAAGAUAUCACAAGGGCAAAGGUCACUCAGGUUGGGACGGUGACCCCGACAGCUGACUUCCAGGCCCUCAUCAGCAGGAAGGAUGAGGACAUGUUUGAAGAAGCUUGCCAACAAAUGCAGAAGAGAGUGGAACAGAUAGUGUCUGAUUCUUUUGGCACCCAGUUCUACAGCAAGGCCAUGGAGUGUCUCAAAGCGCUCAGACAGGAGUGUAUCAAGAAACAAGAAGCAAAGGUGUACAAUGAUUUCAUGACCAAGUACAAGGACACUCUAAUUGGAAAAGGGAAAAGAGAUUUCUGGGAUCAAAUUGUUCAAGAUAAGCAGGCACUGAUCACCAAGCUGGAGUGUGAAGAUGGUGGAGUGUCCAAGGAGGCAGCACACAAGUUUGUUGAGGAGGAGGUGAAGGAGGAGCCGGCGUCAGCCGCCGAUGCAGAAACAACAGACGACCUGAUGGAUCAGUUGGAGUAGAUUCGGCAAGACAAAAUCAAAUACUACCAGGGUUACAACUGAUUUUGUUGAAGGCAAAUCCCUGGGUUGGAUUCAACAGGCAGCUCAAAGAUUGUCAACACGAAUGAGAUUCUGUUCAUAGCUCAGCUCCUGGUCAUGAACAAGUCUUAAGUUGCUUUAUAUGUCAUCUGAAUGUAAAUAAUCAUUAUCUCUCCAUAUGGAUAACAAUUUUAGUCAAUCUAUUGCUUACAGGCACCCAGCUACCUGUGAAGAGCAUUCAUUGUGUCAUUUGUUCUUGUAGCCAACAGGAGUUCUGGCAUAGAAGAAUAACUGGAUGCAUUUCAUAUUUGCGAGAUGGCAAUCUCGUGAGAUCCUUUAUUCUGUUUCUGGGGAUUUUCUGAUCAGCCAAUCAGUGUGUUGAAUUCUAAAUUCUCAACCGUGUGUGAGACAAGCAUA